CAAAAUAAUAAAGUAAGACCAAAAGUAUAAAAAACAGAAAUAGUUCACAUGUCAAAAUGUUGGAAUACAAGGAGAGUAAAGGUAAACGAAAUGACAUCAAUUUGUUUGUCAAGAACAGUUCAUUACUCUUCGUUCAUCUAUACCAAAGUUUGUCAAGAACAAUUUAUUUCUGCUCGCAACUGCUGGCCUCUUCUUCUUUCAAGUUUUUUAACAGCAGAACCCUGAGAAGCAAAGGCUGAUUCAAUCAACAUCUAUCUCUGAAGAAUUCUGGUGAAGGUUCAAGAGGGAAGUGAAGGGAGGUAGUUGGGCGGGUAACAAAGACGGAAGGAGGCAGUACUGUAUGGGGUCAAGAGGGAAGUGAGGUAAAAUAUGAGAAGUUGCAAGUUGUUUCUUAAAAGUUUUAAGGGUAUAUUAGGUAUUUACAGUUUUAAGACCAAUGGAGUCAUAGCUUAAGGGGCAACUAGGACUUAUCUGUCUACUAAAUCAAAUUAUAGGAUUUAGUUGGAUUAAUUAUGAAAAGAGGGACUAUCAUGGUAUUCAAGGCAAAAUAAAUGAUUAUCUUGUCAAAUCCCUACUCAUAACAGGCAUUGCACAAAU
This 597-nucleotide long non-coding RNA is filed under the name Phoenix dactylifera (date palm). Its description in RNAcentral is "long non-coding RNA (PDAC_LNC020934)". Lineage: Eukaryota; Viridiplantae; Streptophyta; Magnoliopsida; Arecales; Arecaceae. The record is from RNAcentral.